This 293-nucleotide ribosomal RNA is filed under the name uncultured bacterium. Its description in RNAcentral is "partial 16S ribosomal RNA". It matches the Rfam family "Bacterial small subunit ribosomal RNA", at positions 505 to 796 of the family's 1533-position model. The record is from RNAcentral.
GUGCCAGCCGCCGCGGUAAGACGUAGGGUGCAAGCGUUGUCCGGAUUUACUGGGCGUAAAGCGCGCGUAGGCGGCUCGUUAAGUGUGAAGUGAAAUCUCCAGGGCUCAACCCGGAAACUGCUUCGCAUACUGGCGAGCUUGAGGAAGGCAGAGGUUAGUAGAAUUCCUGGUGUAGCGGUGAAAUGCAUAGAUAUCAGGAGGAAUACCGACGGCGAAGGCAGCUAACUGGGCCUUAUCUGACGCUGAGGCGCGAAAGCGUGGGUAGCAAACAGGAUUAGAAACCCCUGUAGUCC